This is a non-coding RNA of Oryza sativa Japonica Group (Japanese rice), 912 nucleotides long. The record is from RefSeq and is a predicted model, not a curated record. Lineage: Eukaryota; Viridiplantae; Streptophyta; Magnoliopsida; Poales; Poaceae.
AUAAUUUGCCUUCUAUCUUCAUGGGCUCUUUCAGCCCAUCUAUUUUUUCUCUACCACUCACUGAUCGGCAGUAAUCUAGGGAGAUACAUAUCGAUCUCAUCUCUCCGAUAGCAAUUAACGACAGAGAUGUGGGAGAGAGGACUCCAGCGACCACGAGAUACUCCGCACGAUUUGUGACAAUUUUGAAUCUCAAAACCUCUCUAACUCAGCUACUAUUUUACCUCAAUCUUUGACAGAUUGGUUUUUUAUUGAUUUUGAUUCAGACUCAUCUGAAACAUCAUCAUCCAACCCAAUAAAUUUGAGAAGUCCAGAUGCCGAUCGAAAAAUCGAGCACAUCUGCACCGCUCCCCAAUUCACGCUGCUGUUGAUCUUAACCUAUUGAUGAGCCGUGCUAAUAAUCCGGUAACCAGUAGCAUAUGACAUUGUUCAAGCUGUUGAUGAUGCGAAGGAAGCGUCCAAAGUCAAGGUCAGGAUAAUCAGACUUUGUUAUGGCAUAAAUCGUAACCGACAUGAUAAUUAUUAACAAAAGAGGUCGGUAUAAAUAUUCCCCUCACAAAUAAUGUUCAUAUUUAUAGGCAUUCCGAGAGAGCUCUCAUGUUUACUAUAACGAUAACUAUCUAAAGAUCUGGUAGUUUAUUAGGUCGAUCGUAUUACCAAUGCCCUUUGAUCAAUCAAGAAUUUGUAUGAAAACCAAUAUUAAUUGGACACUUCGAGGAUGCUCGCACAUUAGACAAAAAGAUCUUACUUACCACCGUUGAUUAGGUGGAUCGCAUUACUAUGAUCUUCGAUCUAUUAUGAUUCAUGUAAAUUAAAAUAUGACAUGAAAAGUAGCAUGGGAUAUAAAUUUGUUAAUUUAAUUGCAAUGUUUUAAAUGCAUACUUAGCAAGUUGUAAAUUAUGUGAACUCCAAACC